GUACAAACCUAACCAUGACAAAGUCCAUCAAACCAGCACAGAUUUAGACUUAAUAACACUGGAGGCAACAUAUAAACUCUCGCCAAUCACAAGAUAUAGAGUCCUUCAUUUUGCAGAGAGAUGUCCUAUGCUGCCUUGCUUCUCCCAUACACAACAAUACAGAAGGACACCUGCUAAGAUACUUGGCCAACUCAGAAGCCUCAAAAGACAAAAUGAUCAUCAAGUUCCAGUACAUGAAACUUCACCCCAUUUGAUCUAGAUCUUAUCAAGCUUCUCAGCCUUGACAAUGGGGUUGGCUUUUGCUAUAGCCUCACGUGCCGCAUUGCGAUAAUCAAAUGGGCAGUUGUGUUUGUCCGAGUAGCGAUGAGAUGCACAGAAAAAGUUGCCACAUCGACACUUGAACCCUGUUAAACCAACCCGUUUCUUGCAAGUGCUGCACCGGCUUGGACCG
Molecule: unclassified non-coding RNA, 451 nt
Filed under: Hevea brasiliensis (rubber tree)
Lineage: Eukaryota; Viridiplantae; Streptophyta; Magnoliopsida; Malpighiales; Euphorbiaceae
Source: RNAcentral